Long non-coding RNA from Lolium rigidum, 723 nucleotides. RefSeq lists it as uncharacterized. The transcript has 3 exons. Lineage: Eukaryota; Viridiplantae; Streptophyta; Magnoliopsida; Poales; Poaceae. The record is from RefSeq and is a predicted model, not a curated record.
UGUUAUUUGGGGAUUUCCCCCACCGCCACCUAAUUUAGAUUGUAGUUCGUUAGAAUGCCCAAAGCUUCUAACAGGUCAACCUACAAGAGCCCCAUGUGAUUAUGUUCCACAGAUUAACGGUCUUCCCCCUUCUCGCCCUUCAACACUAGAUGGUGCUGGCAAUGGUGCAUUUGGCAACAACAAAAAUGCAAGGGCAAUGAGGCCACUAGGGGAUGAUGGUGGAUGGCCCAAAAGAGAAGCUAAUGGGAGUCUAAUUUCUAUUGCCGUUUCAUCCACUGUUAUAGCGUUUAUUAUUUGCACUGCAGCUACAUGGUUGCUAUUACUCAAAUUCAGGGAUUCAGAUGACAUGACUCAAAGAUAUCCACAUAUUGCAAUUCCAAAAUUUUCCGGGUCUUCUGGUAUGUAAUCACCCUUCUAACUCUAUAAAUGCACCAUUGUGUGAUGUCAUAUGCUUUAGCUGUUUGAUUGACAUCAGGACAAUAAUUGCAUAUUUUGAAUCAAGUGAUGCCAACUGGCUAUUGAAAUUCAGUGGACAAAUAUUUUCUGGCAAUAUCAUUUGGGAAUCCCAUAUACCUAACUGUUGGAUAAUUAAUUGUGCCACAUGGAAUGAUACAACCAGGACCUCCCAUGCACCAUAUGUUUCCGGACUAAUGCAAAAAAUAUCUAGAUGAUAAUAUACGACGAGUCAUACUUUCACUGUUUUGUCCUGGUCAUAUAUACGUU